This 253-nucleotide ribosomal RNA is filed under the name uncultured bacterium. RNAcentral's name for it is "partial 16S ribosomal RNA". It matches the Rfam family "Bacterial small subunit ribosomal RNA", at positions 524 to 776 of the family's 1533-position model. The record is from RNAcentral.
UACGUAGGGUGCGAGCGUUGUCCGGAAUUAUUGGGCGUAAAGGGCUCGUAGGCGGUUUGUCGCGUCGGGAGUGAAAACACCGGGCUUAACUCGGUGCUUGCUUUCGAUACGGGCAGACUAGAGGCAUGCAGGGGAGAACGGAAUUCCUGGUGUAGCGGUGAAAUGCGCAGAUAUCAGGAGGAACACCGGUGGCGAAGGCGGUUCUCUGGGCGUGUCCUGACGCUGAGGAGCGAAAGUGUGGGGAGCGAACAGG